This 312-nucleotide ribosomal RNA is filed under the name Triticum aestivum (bread wheat). Its description in RNAcentral is "partial small subunit ribosomal RNA". Lineage: Eukaryota; Viridiplantae; Streptophyta; Magnoliopsida; Poales; Poaceae. The record is from RNAcentral.
AUGGGGAUGGUACCUGACUACAGCUUCUCCUUUGCUAUGUCUUCUUGUUUGUUUGCAAUGCUGGCAAUAGGGUUUCAUGACAGGGUCGAUGAGGGUAGCAUUAUUCUUAAGAAAUCCAAGAGGUUCAGCUUCUGCAGUAAUGGGAUCAUCCUGGAGGAAGGAAAUGAAUGGGAGCGGCGAUUCGGUGCCCGAGCCCAGCUGCUCCCGAAAUCAUCGGCGUCAAUUCCAGGCUCGGGAUCUGAACAAUUCACGCUGACACAUCUGACUCGAAAUAUAGAAAAAGGGACGUACGGUACGAAACAGUGGAUCUGA